UUUAUGGAGAGUUUGAUCCUGGCUCAGGAUGAACGCUGGCGGCGUGCCUAAUACAUGCAAGUCGAGCGAACGGACGAGAAGCUUGCUUCUCUGAUGUUAGCGGCGGACGGGUGAGUAACACGUGGAUAACCUACCUAUAAGACUGGGAUAACUUCGGGAAACCGGG
RNAcentral lists this ribosomal RNA (166 nucleotides) under Staphylococcus schweitzeri. RNAcentral describes it as "partial 16S ribosomal RNA". It matches the Rfam family "Bacterial small subunit ribosomal RNA", at positions 1 to 161 of the family's 1533-position model. The record is from RNAcentral. Lineage: Bacteria; Bacillati; Bacillota; Bacilli; Caryophanales; Staphylococcaceae.